Long non-coding RNA from Pipistrellus kuhlii (Kuhl's pipistrelle), 1853 nucleotides. RefSeq lists it as uncharacterized. The record is from RefSeq and is a predicted model, not a curated record. Lineage: Eukaryota; Metazoa; Chordata; Mammalia; Chiroptera; Vespertilionidae. The transcript has 4 exons.
CAAGGAUCCGAAGAGGAAAGAUCAAGUUUUGAGUGGAAUCCGCCAAGUUGCAGGCUCGGGAAACUGGUUCAAAGCGCUGUGCUCUUCUUGGCUGUCGGGCCCUGGGACAAUGUUCAGGAUGAGGACAGAAGGCAGAAGAGAGUCCUGAGGACUCCAGAGAUGUCCUCUCCUCCUCCUCCUCUGCUCCCUCAGCAUUUGUGAGAAAGCGGCACUGGACAUGACGCUCCGUGCUGUGUAAUGCUGGGUUCUCUCUUUGUCCGGAACACUUCCAAGGAAAGCCAGCCACGGAACUAGGUUUGGACACCUGAAGCUAGUGACGGGAGAGAAGGGGCAAUGGGUGGAGGGAGCGCCAGGCACUCGCAGCCACUGUGUCCCCUCCCAGCUGGCCUCCCAGGUACUUGCUGGGACUGUCCAGCAGGAGUAUGGCUUUCACUUUUAAAAAACCAAGUCUGAGAAAUCCAAGCUUAGGACAAACCAAAAUGAGGACAAAGGGACUCACAAGAUGUGUAAGGAGAUUCUUUGCUAAGGACUUCUGCUGGCGCCCAUCUGGUGUGUAAUCGGGCACCCUUGGGUGUGGGGAUGCAGGGUAACUGGAGGUGAGUCCUUUAACAGGAAAGCUCUUCGGUAGACCCGCAGUGCUAUAACCAUCCUGAGCGUUGCCGAGAUGAGCAAUAGGCCUAAAAUGUGGGGUCCCCCAGGGAAGAAAUUUCUCAGAUUCCACUAUUUAAGGAUUUUAACCUCUCCCUCUAGGACAAUCACCGCAAAUCAGAGAUAAAAAUUCCCAGCUGAUCACUUGACUCCUCCCUCUCCUUCCGUUUCUGGGCGCUCCUGAGUGCUGAGGAUGGUUUUAGGAGCCAGUCCCUCGUCCCCCCGCACCUCCUCUUCAGUUAAAUCACAAAAAUGGUCAUUAUAGGGUCACAGAUCUUUGCACACACACAAAAAAGUUUGGGGAACGGUUUUUCUUCAAAAUUUUAAUCCAUGAGGGAUUAAGAACAACCUCACUUUAUGAGACCAGAAUGUUUAAAUGGAGCCAGUGUUCUAGAAACUUAGCAAAGUGAUGUAAGACAUGAAACAAAAUGAUACGUCUGUCUUUUUUCCUUCCUGGGCAAGGUGCAUCUCAGCACUGGUGUCCUGCGGCUUUGCAGACCUGCAUGGUGAGUAUGUGUUUUGGCUAUUAUUUCUAUGUAAGAAAAAUGAAUGAACAAUUCCAUCUCCUUGUUGCCUGCUGUCAGGAGACCGUUCACAAUCCGGCCCUACCCAGAAAGCCAAGAACGGGAAGGCUUCAGAGGGGGGUUAGAAUGCCUCCAUGCAGUAUCUACAUCUGAAAGGCAGCCAUUCAGCCGGAAGAAAUGACAGGCAGGACAGCCCCAGGCCGCCAGACCUCCCACAGGCUUUUCUUGUUCAGGAAAGCCUGGAUGAAUGGUUUCUUUGCAGACGCAGCUGCCUGGGUCCCAAGGUGAGUCAAAUAACAUCCCUUCCCUCAUAGAUCAGGUGGUGGUUUGCGAGAGCACAUGCGUCCCCUCCACCAAGAUCUGCAUUCCUACCGCGUGCCAGGUGGUUUCUGGAGAGAGGGAGCAAGUCCAGAUGCCUGACUAUGGGCAACCGCUCAGAGGUGGUGUCAUUUGAGCUGAGACUGAAAUGGACACUCAGUUAUGAGCAAAUCUGGGGGAACAAAGUUCUAGACAGAGGACACGGCCAACGGGAAGAUGUGUGGUAAUGAGCUUGACCAUCUCUAAGAAGGGAAGGAAGCGUAGGAGAUCCUUUCCUGGGGGAAAUUCUACAGUGGGGUGACAGGACCAAAAGUUAUAGACAUCUUUAUGGCUCUUGAUAUACAUUACUGGAUUGUUUUCCAA